Molecule: small nuclear RNA, 107 nt
Filed under: Procavia capensis (Cape rock hyrax)
Lineage: Eukaryota; Metazoa; Chordata; Mammalia; Hyracoidea; Procaviidae
Source: RNAcentral
GAACUUGAUUGUCAGACCUUGUAUACUAAAACUGGAAUAUACAGAGAAUAUUAGCAUGACCCCUGCACAAAGAUGACGUUCAAAUUCAUGAAGUACUUUUAAGGUUU